RNAcentral lists this long non-coding RNA (808 nucleotides) under Marmota monax (woodchuck). Lineage: Eukaryota; Metazoa; Chordata; Mammalia; Rodentia; Sciuridae. The record is from RNAcentral.
UUUAGUGUUGGAGCAAGACAGCUCACAAUCCCUGCCCGGACCUUUCUUUGUAGUGUGGGGAGACAGUAGGAGGGGUCCAGGUUUCCUUCAGUGGAACCUCACUGAGAUCAGCCGGUGCCCAGGCUUUCCACCCUUCUCCUUCUCCCCUGUGGUUGCUUACUUAGGACCAGCUGCCCACCAGCCCAUCAAAGGCUGAGGGGUCAGUCCUGGCUCUGCCUCAAAGAUCAGCACCUGAGGACAAAAUGCAGGAAGAUGAUGCCCCUGGCACCGCACCCUUCCAGUAUAGAAGGUUGCAAAGAUAUGCAAACGUGUUGUCACUGCCUUGUACCAUCCCCGGGAAGUCUGGGGUGCUUUACCCGAGAAUGACCACCAGAGGACGACAAGAGCCAACCUUCCUGGCCCAGAACCAGACAUGCUGAUGCUAUCCUCUCCACCAAGCUUUGGAAGGUUGUUUGUGUGUGUUGGGGGGUGCUGGGGAAGCGGCAGUCUCAGCACCUCCAGAGGACACCAGAGAUGAUUGGUUCUUAACCUUCCCCUGCUUCACUGGAAGGAAAAGGGAGGCCCAGAGAGGGGCAGGGACUCCCUAGACACACAGCAAAGCGGAGGUGCAACAGGACACAGAGCUCCUGCCUUCAGCUCUGCUUGUUUCUUGUGAAGUCCCCGGUGGAGGCAGGAGGGAGAGGGGAGACCCAGAAUCUGAGGCUAGAGCAAAGACAGCCCCUAAUGGCCUUGAAAGCUCAGCUCUAGGCUUCAGGCCUGUCCUUGUAGGUGUCCCUACCCCCCCUAGUCAUCACAGCAUAUACUUAAG